This 468-nucleotide ribosomal RNA is filed under the name uncultured bacterium. RNAcentral's name for it is "partial 16S ribosomal RNA". It matches the Rfam family "Bacterial small subunit ribosomal RNA", at positions 28 to 507 of the family's 1533-position model. The record is from RNAcentral.
GACGAACGCUGGCGGCGUGCUUAACACAUGCAAGUCGAACGGAAAGGCCCUGCUUUUGUUGGGUGCUCGAGUGGCGAACGGGUGAGUAACACGUGAGUAACCUGCCCUUGACUGUGUGAUAACUUCAGGAAACUGGGGCUAAUACCGGAUAGGAUCUCCUGCUGCAUGGGGGUGGUUGGAAAGUUUCGGCUGUUGGGUAUGGUCUCGCGGCUUAUCAGCUUGUUGGUGGGGUAGUGGCUUACCAAGGCUUUGACGGGUAGCCGGCCUGAGAGGGUGACCGGGGACAUUGGGACUGCGAGACGGAGCAGAAUCCUACGUGAGGCAGCAGGGGGGAACAUUGCAGAACGGGCGCAAGCCUGAUGCAGAAGUCCUGCGAUCGGGAUGACGGCCUUUGGGUUGUAAACAGCUGUCGAAUGUGAUGAAGAGUGAGUGACGGUAAUGGGUAAAGAAGCACCGGCUAACUACGUG